UGGGGAAUAUUGCACAAUGGGGGAAACCCUGAUGCAGCGACGCCGCGUGAGCGAAGAAGGCUUUCGAGUCGUAAAGCUCUGUCCUAUGAGAAGAUAAUGACGGUAUCAUAGGAGGAAGCCCUGGCUAAAUACGUGCCAGCAGCCGCGGUAAUACGUAUGGGGCGAGCGUUGUCCGGAAUUAUUGGGCGUAAAGGGUACGUAGGCGGCAAUGCAAGUCAGAUGUAAAAGGCAAAGGCUCAACCUUUGUAAGCAUCUGAAACUGUAUAGCUUGAGAAGUGUAGAGGCAAGUGGAAUUUUUAGUGUAGCGGUGAAAUGCGUAGAUAUUAAAAAGAAUACCGGUGGCGAAGGCGACUUGCUGGGCACAAUCUGACGCUGAGGAACGAAAGCGUGGGGAGCAAACAGG
RNAcentral lists this ribosomal RNA (403 nucleotides) under Verrucomicrobiota bacterium. RNAcentral describes it as "Verrucomicrobia bacterium partial 16S ribosomal RNA". It matches the Rfam family "Bacterial small subunit ribosomal RNA", at positions 355 to 776 of the family's 1533-position model. The record is from RNAcentral. Lineage: Bacteria; Pseudomonadati; Verrucomicrobiota.